UUUCGGAUGGAAUUCGAUUGACUGAGUGGCGGACGGGUGAGUAACGCGUGGAUAACCUGCCUCACACUGGGGGAUAACAGUUAGAAAUGACUGCUAAUACCGCAUAAGCGCACAGUACCGCAUGGUACAGUGUGAAAAACUCCGGUGGUGUGAGAUGGAUCCGCGUCUGAUUAGCCAGUUGGCGGGGUAACGGCCCACCAAAGCGACGAUCAGUAGCCGACCUGAGAGGGUGACCGGCCACAUUGGGACUGAGACACGGCCCAAACUCCUACGGGAGGCAGCAGUGGGGAAUAUUGCACAAUGGGCGAAAGCCUGAUGCAGCGACCCCGCGUGAGUGAAGAAGUAUUUCGGUAUGUAAAGCUCUAUCAGCAGGGAAGAAAAUGACGGUACCUGACUAAGAAGCCCCGGCUAACUACGUGCCAGCAGCCGCGGUAAUACGUAGGGGGCAAGCGUUAUCCGGAUUUACUGGGUGUAAAGGGAGCGUAGACGGCGAAGCAAGUCUGAAGUGAAAACCCAGGGCUCAACCCUGGGACUGCUUUGGAAACUGUUUUG
Molecule: ribosomal RNA, 552 nt
Filed under: uncultured bacterium
Lineage: Bacteria
Description: bacterial SSU rRNA
Rfam family: Bacterial small subunit ribosomal RNA
Source: RNAcentral